UACGUAGGGUGCAAGCGUUGUCCGGAAUUAUUGGGCGUAAAGAGCUCGUAGGCGGUCUGUCGCGUCUGCUGUGAAAACUCGGGGCUUAACCCCGGGCCUGCAGUGGGUACGGGCAGACUAGAGUGCGGUAGGGGAGACUGGAAUUCCUGGUGUAGCGGUGAAAUGCGCAGAUAUCAGGAGGAACACCAAUGGCGAAGGCAGCUCGCUGGAACGGUACUGACGCUGAGGCGCGAAAGCGUGGGGAGCGAACAGG
This 253-nucleotide ribosomal RNA is filed under the name uncultured bacterium. Its description in RNAcentral is "partial 16S ribosomal RNA". It matches the Rfam family "Bacterial small subunit ribosomal RNA", at positions 524 to 776 of the family's 1533-position model. The record is from RNAcentral.